AUAAAUACGGUAUAUUUGAGGCUCAGUCAGAUAGGUUCUUACAAUAUUCUGUGUUUCGAAAUGUCUCCUAAACUCUUCUCUCUCCUCUUCGUAGUUUUGGCUCUUAUGGCUACAGCCAUGGCAGGAGUCCACAAAGUGCGAUAUGAACAAGAACCACCGGAAAGACGAAUGGGAAUUUUGGGUGGUAUCAAAGAAAUGGCUGAUGAUAUACUCAGUACUGCCGGAGUUCACAACCAAUAAUUUGAUUGCUAAUUGUUGGAAUUUUAGCC
Long non-coding RNA from Parasteatoda tepidariorum (common house spider), 269 nucleotides. RefSeq lists it as uncharacterized. The record is from RefSeq and is a predicted model, not a curated record. Lineage: Eukaryota; Metazoa; Arthropoda; Arachnida; Araneae; Theridiidae.